CGGCCGCAGGGGAAGCCUUGUAGGCCUCUACCGCUAUCCUCCACCACCUUCUCGUCCCGCCACCGGCCAAAAAUCGAGGGGAUCUGCGGCUGCUGUCGCCGCCACCGGAUUUGGCGUUUCGGGCCACAUCGGCGGCUGCGCCUUGCCAUGGAUUGGCCAGUAAGCAGCCCACACGGCCCCGGCAAAGCCUCUGCGCCGCAUGCAUGUACCGGCUCUUCCUCUAGCAACUCUAAUCUCUCCCGCCAUCGGUUCUCCGGCAACUACACGGCCGACCGUCGCCCGGGCUCGGCGCUCGCGCAACGGCUCACCGACUUGCAGCUGGCGGUCAUACAAUGCGACGACUGCACACGGCAAGUGGUGCGCCGAGUUUCUACCACGCCGAAACAUCACGGAUGGGUGUUCUUCAAAUGGACAAAUGAUGGGGAUGAUGGAUGCUUGUUUUGGUAUUGGAAGAAGAAUACGUCAAUCUAUUAAUAGCACGAAAAUUAGUAGAUGUCUAUGCACUCGUUGCUAUAAUUGAGGCUAAAUGUGAGACUAGAUGUGCGAUUAGAGAAGAAAUUAGAGGGGAUGCAACGUCUACUUCUUUAGAGUCAAAAAAGAAUAAUGAACUAUGCAAGAUCGAUAAUCCGCAGAUCAACAAUGAAGGCAUCGAGAAGAUAUUAAUCCAACUAGUCAGAGUAGUUAUGGAAGUUGGAUAUCUUCUAAAAUGUCUAAUUAUGGUUCUUAUUUUCUGUGGUCUUGCUCUUCUAGCAAAGAAUUGGUGAAUUAUUAUGUAAUCCAAUGUUGUUGAAUGAAAUAAAGAAGUAAAGAAAUGUGUUUCGGUGGCCGAA
Aegilops tauschii subsp. strangulata is the source of this 830-nucleotide non-coding RNA. The record is from RefSeq and is a predicted model, not a curated record. NCBI's taxonomy places the organism in Eukaryota, Viridiplantae, Streptophyta, Magnoliopsida, Poales, Poaceae.